AAAAUGCACCAUUGCUACAAAAGCUUAAGUUGUAGAGAGGGAGAUCCAACUACGAGAAACGGCUAUGGUCUUUUAAUGUGCACAUAGGUGGAGCAGUGAGGCGAGGCAAAGGAAUUGGCUCAAGGCAGAGAAAGAAGUAAUGGAGACACAAGAAGUGAGGAGGCUUCACAUCGUCUACUUUCUUAGUCGAAAGGGGCGUAUCGAACACCCUCAUCUCAUUCGAGUCCAUCAUCUCUCCAGAAAUGGUGUUCGAUUGCGAGAUGUGAAGAGAUGGCUGUCGGUGCUGCGUGGGAACGAGAUACCGGAGUCGUUUUCUUGGUCAUACAAGAGUGCAGGAGAUACAAAACAGGGCAUGUGUGGCAGGAUUUGGUAGAUGAUGAUCUCAUCACUCCAAUUUCAUACAAUGAGUAUGUGCUUCAAGGAUCAGAGAUUUCAUCCAUCAAUAUCAAAGUUGGUUAGGAAAAAAAACAAACUCACCCAACAACAGAGGCCUCAGUUGAAGUCUCAUCAAUACCGGCGUCUGAAAUCGAAGAAGAAUCGCCGUCUUUUGGCUCAGAGACAUCCACAAGUACAGAUGACUCGGGAAAAGUCGAGAUGGAGAAAAGUUCGGACACAACCAAAGAAGAAACGCCAAGCAUCAAUGACAAAGUGGGGCGGCAUUGGCCUUUUUACUCCACACUUUUAAGCAAGAAGAGAAGCAAGAAUGCCACUAUUGAUGAAAAGACUGUUCCAGCUGAGGAUGUUGACCUGUGCAAGGACUUGGCAUCAGAGCCUCAAUGCAUGAAGAGCAAGAACAACACGAACAGCAAAUCUAAAAUGCUCAAGAACCUGAUCACUUGUGGAGAUAUAAAGACGAAUGAGUCUGCAGUUGUUCCAAUGAAGAAACCAAACAAGCAGCCUUUCACGAGCAUGUGUUGGAGUGAUGUGGAGAAUGUUCAUUCCGCUGCAUUGUGGAAAAGGGAUAGUGGUGGCUUCGGAGGCUCACAGAGGGUGUGUAGGAUUCCUGCUUCGGCUCGACAAUACUUUAGUGGAAAUAUUUCUUGCCAUUUGUCUACUGUGUUAACUUACUGAGAAAAUGAUGGGAAAAUGAUUGAAUUUUUGCAGGAAGAGCCUUGAUGGGAUUGAGGAUUUGAGGAAGAGCAAGGGUGAACCAACAGAGCUAAAGGCACCUUGUGCUCCUUAUAAGCCCAUGAACGGGCCGAAUUGCUACUAAGUAGAUAUUGCUUUCUUGAGAGAUUGUCCCCUCGGGCGAGCCGCCCGAAUGCAGUUAUGUGUUUCUUUGUUGUUGCAGACAAUGUGGGAAGGUGUUCAAGCCAGAGAAGAUGCAUGCCCACAUGAAAUCUUGCAAGGAGCUGAAAGCUUUCUCCAAAUGUGGCUGCUGAUAAUAAGGCAACUAAAGAAAGUGGGGACUCAUUUUCUGGCCAUUUGUUCACUCUUUACUAAUUAAAGCCACAUUCUAUAGACAGAGAGAUGUAAAGCGUUUCAGCCUUCUUUGUGAAAAGAGAUGCAAUUUCGAUA
Salvia splendens (bonfire salvia) is the source of this 1518-nucleotide RNA transcript. It is a transcript of the gene named protein SOSEKI 1, with no coding region annotated. The record is from RefSeq and is a predicted model, not a curated record. NCBI's taxonomy places the organism in Eukaryota, Viridiplantae, Streptophyta, Magnoliopsida, Lamiales, Lamiaceae. The transcript has 5 exons.